CUCACUGUGAAAGCCCGGGGCUCAACCCCGAGACUGCAGGGGAUACUGCGAGGCUAGAGACAAGCAGAGGUUGGUAGAAUUCCGGGUGUAGCGGUGGAAUGCGUAGAGAUCCGGAGGAAUACCAGAGGCGAAGGCGGCCAACUGGGCUUGUUCUGACGCUGAGGUGCGAAAGCGUGGGGAGCGAACAGG
RNAcentral lists this ribosomal RNA (189 nucleotides) under uncultured bacterium. RNAcentral describes it as "partial 16S ribosomal RNA". It matches the Rfam family "Bacterial small subunit ribosomal RNA", at positions 588 to 776 of the family's 1533-position model. The record is from RNAcentral.